RNAcentral lists this ribosomal RNA (549 nucleotides) under uncultured Sclerocystis. Its description in RNAcentral is "SSU rRNA". It matches the Rfam family "Eukaryotic small subunit ribosomal RNA", at positions 548 to 1098 of the family's 1831-position model. Lineage: Eukaryota; Fungi; Glomeromycota; Glomeromycetes; Glomerales; Glomeraceae. The record is from RNAcentral.
UUGGAGGGCAAGUCUGGUGCCAGCAGCCGCGGUAAUUCCAGCUCCAAUAGCGUAUAUUAAAGUUGUUGCAGUUAAAAAGCUCGUAGUUGAAUUUCGGGGUCAGCAGGUUGGUCGUGCCAAUGGUAUGCACUGGCCUUGCUGAUUCCUCCUUCUUGAUGAGCCGUAAUGCCAUUAAUUUGGUGUUGCGGGGAAUCAGGACUGUUACUUUGAAAAAAUUAGAGUGUUUAAAGCAGGCAAGCGCUUGAAUACAUUAGCAUGGAAUAAUGAAAUAGGACGUUCGAUCCUAUUUUGUUGGUUUCUAGGAUUGACGUAAUGAUUAAUAGGGAUAGUUGGGGGCAUUAGUAUUCAAUUGUCAGAGGUGAAAUUCUUGGAUUUAUUGAAGACUAACUACUGCGAAAGCAUUUGCCAAGGAUGUUUUCAUUAAUCAAGAACGAAAGUUAGGGGAUCGAAGACGAUCAGAUACCGUCGUAGUCUUAACCAUAAACUAUGCCGACUAGGGAUCGGAUGAUGUUAAUUUUUUAAUGACUCAUUCGGCGCCUUACGGGAAAC